UUCAUGUAAUUACCUCGAGUAUCAGAUGAUGACCUUGAAUAUCAGAAGUACGACUUUUUUUUCAUAUUGUUUCGUCCCUGUAUCGGCAGAUUCUCUUAGAAACGAACGACUACUGCAUAACAAGUACAGUCACGUGACAUGAAGGUGUCCAUGUCCAUGACGCAGCUCAAAGGAAAGCUGGCAAAGUUGACACAAAAGUAGUCUGACAAGUGUUAGCUGUAAUUUCAAGACUUACUGUACACGUAUAAGAAUGCACAACAAAAUAUCGGAACAAAGUGUUUGGUAUGAAAAUGGAUAGAAAAUGAUGGCAAGAUGGCACAAAUAGUGGUCUCUCGAUACCUUCUCCAUACCCGCCGCGGCCCACACAAUCGCUUAUAAACAAGGCGGUGCUUCCAGAUAAUACACACGUGUACUGUUCUAAGCACUGCUUUACACUGCGGGAUUCAAGGAACCAUGAAGCUGCUUCUGGUCAUGAGUUUGGUGCUGAUUGUGGUGGCACUGGUGGGGGUCACCUCGGCGUUCCCGAACCCUCUACCUGAAGCUUUUCCUGACCCUGAAGCUGAAGCUGACCCUGAUCCAUUCUUUUUCAAGAGAUUUUAUCGCCCGUAUUAUCGUCCUCGCUACUACUUUUACUAGUGAUGACUCAAUAGCACUUUAUUUAAAAAAGAAAUAAUGAAGAACCAGUCUUAACUCCACAUACACACACACACACAUACAAACAAACACACGCACACACACACACACACACACACACACACACACACACACACACACACACACACACACACACACACAUAUCCAUGGGCAUUUAUAUGAGAAGUGUAAUGUUUCUUUGUAAGAUUUCAACGCUACAUGCGAAUAUAUAUAAGAAAAAAAAUACAAUUUCUGAAAUGGUAA
This is a long non-coding RNA of Portunus trituberculatus (swimming crab), 897 nucleotides long. RefSeq lists it as uncharacterized. The transcript has 2 exons. The record is from RefSeq and is a predicted model, not a curated record. NCBI's taxonomy places the organism in Eukaryota, Metazoa, Arthropoda, Malacostraca, Decapoda, Portunidae.